AACUCAGGACACAACCACUGAACGUCAACACCAAUCAAAAUAUGUGAAAAUGAAUUAUUAAUUGAAUGUUACAUAGGAUGGCAUCUAGUCGGAUACACUUUUAAUUAAAAGUGUCGGUGCUAUAAAACACCAAAUAAACUAAAAAUAACAAGCUUUCAAUCUAUCAUUAUUAUCCAUUCAAAUUAGCCAUAACAUCAUAACCCUAUCUCGCAGUAAAACAUAAUUCAUUAAAACACCUCAAUAAUAA
Molecule: long non-coding RNA, 247 nt
Filed under: Cicer arietinum (chickpea)
Lineage: Eukaryota; Viridiplantae; Streptophyta; Magnoliopsida; Fabales; Fabaceae
Description: long non-coding RNA (CARI_LNC002417)
Source: RNAcentral